GACGAACGCUGGCGGCGUGCUUAACACAUGCAAGUCGAACGAUGAAGAAGAGAAACGCGAACUUCGGUUCAAAUUUCACUUCGGAUUAGUGGCAGACGGGUGAGUAACGCGUGAGCAACCUACCUCUUACAAAGGGAUAGCCUCGGGAAACCGUGAUUAAUACCAUAUGACACAUUCAUAAGGCAUCUUAAGAAUGUUAAAGCUACGGCGGUAAGAGAUGGGCUCGCGUCCCAUUAGCUAGUUGGGGAGGUAACGGCCCACCAAGGCGACGAUGGGUAACCGGCCUGAGAGGGUGAACGGUCACAUUGGAACUGAGACACGGUCCAAACUCCUACGGGAGGCAGCAGUGGGGAAUAUUGCACAAUGGAGGGAACUCUGAUGCAGCGACGCCGCGUGAGCGAUGAAGGAAUUCGUUUCGUAAAGCUCUGUUCUAUGGGAAGAAAAGGACUGUACCAUAGGAGAAAGCCCCGGCUAAAUACGUG
Molecule: ribosomal RNA, 482 nt
Filed under: uncultured bacterium
Lineage: Bacteria
Description: partial 16S ribosomal RNA
Rfam family: Bacterial small subunit ribosomal RNA
Source: RNAcentral